UCGGUCAGUGUUGUUUUGUCGCUCGUGGUGGUCAGGCGUGUGUGUUGUGCGGAUUCCAAAUUUGGAGUCCUCUUUCAUUUUGACUGUCCAAGGAGAAAUUCCAAAGCUGUCAUUACAGCGCCCUUGGCCGCCAGCACGAUGUUGAAAUUUAUGAAACACCAACAGAAAAUUACUCCUGAACGAAUACAGAAGCAGAAGGAGCUUUUUGACUUCAACCAGUGUUGCCAUCAUGGGUUCCCUGCCAAGCCGUCGGCCCUCGCGUGGGAUCCCCAGCUCCGCCUCCUGGCCAUUGGCACCAAGGCGGGCGAGGUCAGAGUGUACGGGCAGCCGGGCGUCGAGAUGUACGGUCAGCGCGAGGACUCGGAGGCGGCCAUCACCCACCUCACCUUCCUCAAGGGACAGUGCCGCCUGGUGUCACUGUUCGAAGACAACAGUCUACACCUAUGGCAGUUAAACCAACAAGAUGACACUGGUGGCUCGUUGGAAUUAGUUCAUGCUAACUCCACAUGCUUAGAGGGAAAGUUGAAAAAAAUUAGUGUGGUGGUGGCAGACAGCAAGUGUGAACACCUGAUGGUUGGCACAGAGGGCGGCAACAUCUACCUGCUUAACCUGGCAACUUUUGCCAUGUCUGACAAUAUUAUUUACCAAGAUGUAGUCAUGCAGAAUGUUCCUGAAGACUACAAGGUGAACCCGGGCCCAGUGGAAGCUAUUGCAGAGCACCCCACAGAACCUGACAAGAUCCUAAUUGGCUACCAGCGUGGCCUCAUCGUUCUGUGGGACAAGAAGAAUCUUUGUGCUGAUCAGACAUACGUAUGCACUCAACAACUAGAAUCCGUGUGCUGGCACCCGGAUGCAAGCCAGUUUACGACAUCUCACAACGACGGCAGCUAUAUGGUCUGGUCAUCCACUGAAUCAUCUGAGCCUGUUGAUGGACCCCAGACUGUGUAUGGGCCUUUUCCUUGCAAACCUAUUACCAAAAUUCUGAGACCGGCAGCUAAAGAAGGAGAUCUCAUUAUCUUUGGGGGAGGCAUGCCCAGAGCGAGCUAUGGUGACCGCAACACAGUCACUGCCAUGCAAGGAGAAUUUCAUGUCACUUUCAAUCUUACAUCUAGAGUCAUUGACUUUGUUGUAGUGGAUGAUGAUGAAAGCGGCCAAGCAGGCUGCCUGGUGAUACUCGCGGAAGAGGAGGUAGUCUUUAUAGAUCUCAUGACGGAAGAAUGGCCAUCGUUUGCUGCACCUUAUUUGGCAUCACUCCACUCUUCUGCCAUUACCUGUUUAUUCUUGGUUUCGGGCAUAAUGCUGGAUCUUUACGAAAAAAUAAAGGAAGCAGGAGCUAAGCAACAGGUUGGCUUAUCCACACGUCCCUGGCCAAUCAACGGAGGAAUCCUGGCAAAUUCUGACCCGCCCAAACAGCGAGAUCUCCUCCUGACUGGUCAUGAAGAUGGCACUGUACAAUUUUGGGAUGCAUCUGGAGUAUCCCUGACGCACCUGUACAAACUCUCAACGGCAAAGCUCUUUGUGUCAGAGGACCUUGCUGCAGAUGGGGCAGCUGCAGAAGAUGACGAUUGGCCUCCGUUCAGAAAAGCAGGGUUAUUUGACCCUUACAGUGACGAUCCUCGUCUUGGUAUAAAAAAGAUGGAGAUGUGUGCAUAUACAGGGACUCUGGUUGUUGCUGGCACAGCAGGUCAAGUCCUCAUCCUUAAUCUUAACAUGGAAGAGAAGGAACUCGUACCUGAGUGUGUAGAUGUAAAUCUGGUAGCUGAGACCGACAACUUUGUUUGGAAGAGUCAUAGCAAACUGGACAUGCAGACUGAAGCUGUGAAGUUUGAACCAGGGAUGCAGCCCACGGCGGUUGUGCAGUUUUUCCCCCCGGCUUCCUGCACGUCUCUGACCCUAAACAGCGAAUGGGGUCUUGUUGCUUGUGGUACAGCUCAUGGAUUUGCACUCUUUGACAUUAUUCAAAAGAAGAACCUGCUUGCAAAAAGUACCUUAAGCCCUCUAGAUUUAGCCAACACAGCUGAUGAAGGACCAAUGUCUCGAAGAAAAUCCCUCAAGAAGUCUCUCAGAGAAUCAUUCCGUAGAUUACGGCGUGGGAGAUCCCAGAGAAAAACAGGCAAGCCAGGAGCCACGUCUCCAACAGGAGGACAUCCACAAAGUGCUGGAGGUGGAGGGGCGGCAGCAGAUGAUGAUGGGUUGAAGCCCGUGGAGAGAGCCAUUGAAGCGCGCUCACAGACCAGUGACUACAUUGGAUCUAUGGUUCGUUGUUUGCACCUUACAAAAUGCUUCAUUGCCAACACUCAGCUGAUGUCCGCCACCUUAUGGGCGGGCACCAACAGUGGCGCCAUAUUUGUCUUCACUAUUGCCAUCCCACCCUCGGAGAAGCGUGCUGAAAUCCCACUCAGUGUCCAGAUUGGCAAGGAAAUCCACCUCAAGCAUGGCGCUCCUGUUAUUAGUAUAUGUGUGCUUGAUGGGGCGAAUCGACCCUUCCCAGAGCCCAUGGCAGUGAAGAAGGAGGCUGCCCCUGCGCCAAACCCUAGCAUGCCACAUAGAGUGUUGAUAUGCUCUGAAGAACAAUUUAAGGUGUUCACUCUACCACAGCUAAAGCCCUUCUGCAAGUUUAAGCUCACAGCACACGAGGGAUCCAGAGUACGGAAGAUUGGCUACGCAGACUAUGUAUCGACAGCUGAUGAAAGCUACCGGGAAGCAGGCUUUAUGAUAAUGUCUAAUCUUGGUGACUUUUCCUUAUACUCCCUGCCCGAUUGCCGGAGACAGAUGCAGGUGGCAUACAUUAAGCGGGAAGAUAUCAAUGGUAUCAACAGUGUUGUUUUUAGUAAUCGUGGUGAGGCUCUGUAUAUGAUGUCACCUUGUGAGCUGCAGAGAGUGUCACUCUCAGCACGGCACAUCACCAGACCCUGUGGCACUAUACCCAUUGUCAAACCUAUGCCAGUCGAAGAGAAAAUUGAAGAGCCAGCCAAAGAAAAGCCAACAAGUGAAGGCCCUGCUGGAGAGGAUGGAGCAGUCUCUGCAGCCCCAGAGACUCCGGGGGAACCAGCAGCUACUAAUGAAAAAGAGGUUGAAAGUGGACCAGCCAAAGAGGAGAAGCCUGCGGGUGAGGCUGUUGGAGGAACAGUGAACAAGAAGGUGGAAGAAGUGAAGGAGAACGGCGACAGCAGCGUCCUGAGCGGAGACAUCACCAUCGAUUCCAUUCGAGACCACAUAGUCGUCAUCCAUUCAAGUAGUUGAGACGGCGGCAUCAGCAGUCAACCACAGUGCAGUGAAUGGAACAGAGUAACAGUCAACUAAGAAGAGAGCACCAUUAGCCAAGGCUGAGUCAUUCUUCAGCAAGGAGCCAAGAGUCGUGAAAGAAGAAUAAUUGUUGUCAAUAGAUUACAUAAGCCUCACUUUGUAGGACGAAGUACCAGUGAUUGGUAGUUUUAUGAAACCCUUUAUAGGACUUUUUUUUUUCAGGCCCAUUGUUUGCACUUUUAUAUGGAGAAUGCAUUUAAAUGGAAUAGCUAUGUGAUGGGGUUGGACAUUCUUUCAACUUGAAUAAGGUAGAUUAUUACAAGCUAUAUCUUUUCCUCCAUUUUUUUUUCUUUCUUUCUCUCUCUCUUUCUCUCAUUCUUUCAUUCAUUCUUUUUCUCUCAAUAUCUUUUUUUAGUUUCUCUUUCCUUUCUUUCAUUUCUACUGGAGGUAGUUGCUGUUAUUUUUAUAAAGAAAAGCAACAGAGAGAUGUUAUCUGUUUUUGAUUUCGUGAGGUGAUAUUGCCAUGAGACUUAGUGAUCAUGUUUGCUGUUCUUUGAAUAAAGUUGCUGAAGUGUGCAAACUAGGAAGAGGUAUAAAAAGAUGCUAAUAUAGAUACCAGUAAACAGGCCAAAAUACCCAAAUUACUUCUGUAAGUAACUGAAUUGCCAAAUACCUUUUUAUUUCCCUGAAAUGCAAUGCUUUGCAGUCUCAUAUACUUCUAUGGCACCUAUAUACUGUGAACACAUCAGAGCUUUAUAUUUUGUUUAUUGUAUCAUUUCAUUCACCUUUUUGUUUUUGAUAUGAACAAAGAUAAAAUAAAGAUUUAGAUUAAAGGAUUCAAAAGCUUUGGUAGAAGCUCAGUACCUGUGUAUAUAUUACGUUUUUGAAAACAAAAGAAAAAACAAAGCAUUGAUUAUAUUUAACAUUAAUUAUAAGAAAAGCAAUGAUAAUUUUUAUCAUUUAGGACUUUGGUAUUCAUGUAUUGGAUUAAGAUUUGUGAACAAAUUAAUAACAGUAGCAGUUAAUUUGGAGCUGGGCAUUUUUUUCCUGAAUUAAGAUAUAUAUAUCUAUAUGUAUAUAUGUAUACACACAUUCCUCUAUACGAAAAUAUGUAUGUAUGUAUAUGUAUUUUUAUAUGUAGACAUACAAAGUAUUUUUUUGUGUGUUUAUAUAUAUAUAUAUAUAUAUAUAUAUAUAUAUAUAUAUAUAUAUAUAUAUAUAUAUAUAUAUAUAUAUUACACACACAGAUGUGUAUGCAGGCAUAGUUUAGGGUAACAUACUAAUGGACUAAUUUAUCAAUCCUAAAGAAAAUCGAGAGUGAAUAAAUACAAAAAAAUACAAAAAACAUGCAGUCAAACCUAUAAAAAAAAAAUCCUUGCCAGUUACACCAUAGGUUCUGCCCCUCUUUUUUCCAUUUCAUUUCUGUUUGGCAGCUGUUUGCUUUACUCAGAGGGAGAUUGUUCAUUGUAAGAAUGCAAUAUGUCGGCCCUUUCUGUAUAGAACGAGGCUUUGAGGGAAGGGAGAAGAAAUGUUGCAUUAAAGUGAAAUCUGUUUGGAUGUGAUAUGAUUACGUGGCAUGCGGAGACGACUGGUUAGUAGUCCCUGCUGUCACGGGGUUUGAAACGCAGGCUCUUUUAUGAUUUAAUUUGAUUUUUUUUUUUUUUUUUUCUUAUGUUUUAUGGUUUCCCUGAUCCAAUUUUGCCUGUUGGUAGCUGGGAAACGGCUUAGCCUGUCUCCCGUUUCAUAGAGGUUAAGAGAACAUGGAUAUUUAUUUAAUUGUUAAGGAUAAUUAUUUAGUAUUCAUAGUAGUUAUUGUUGAAAUGUAGUUCCACCCUAUAUUUUGUGAGAUAAUUUGUACAAAAUAUUUUCAAUUUUGUAAGAAGAAAUGUGUGGCUUAUAGUGUUAAUGAUACAUGGUAGAUAUAUGGCUUCUGAUAUUGCUAAAGUUACUAAUGAUGUAUUUGGGUGAUGGAAAAAGCUAAACUUUCUUGGAACAUUAUGGAGUGCAUUAAUAUUUGAUAAACCCUUUCACUGUAGUGCAUUCCGUCAUUAAUUCUCAUCAUUUUAGUAUUGGAAGUUUAUUGAAAUUGAAAGAUAGAUAUCUAGAAACUUGUGGGUGGCUUUGAUAGUCUAGAUUAGUUCUUGUAAGAGAAGAUACUAAGUCCAUCCCAAGUUUAACCUGUUUGAUGACGUUUUUCUAAAAGUUGCAUCACCUUGUAUUCCUAAAAGGAAAUCUACAGUGGAAGGACUCAAAACAUUUUUUUUAUUUGAAUAUUCCUACUAUCAGUUUGAUGAGUCUGGCUUCAGUUCGUAAAUACUUUAGGUGUUAUUUAGGCACCACAGAGUGACAGGGAUCUACAAAUCUCUAUUGAAUAAUACUUCGACCAAUGAAAAUGAAUCACCAAUUUUGAUUUUUAUCUUCUAACCCAAUUUGUUUAGGAAAACUGCUCAAAAGGUUCUAUAUAUAUAGGUAUAAAUAAAUAGAUAAAUAUAUAUGUAUGUAUACUAAGAGAGAUAGCCAGAUUAUGAUUCCACGUUUUAUUCCAAUUGUUCAGAGUGGCAAAACUGAUUUUAAGAAUAGAUAAACAAAUGACUAGAAUAAAGUUAAGAGAUUCAUCUUCUGUGACCAUGGAUGACAAGUAGAGAAUACUGCUCUCUGCAUUUGGUGUUGUCAUGAGGAGAAAUACAUCUUAGCAUAUGGUUAACACUGCCCCAGUUCUUUGUUUGUGUAUUAUAGAACUGACUACAUUCCAUGAAUUCAAUACUAGCAUCACAGGGUCACUGUUUCCCUGUCUCUUGUCUAUUUUUUUUUUUUUUUUUUUAUCCUUUUAUUAUGAGUCUGUUCAUAUUUGAUGUGUUUAUCUGUGAAGGGAGGGAGGUAGGCAUGUUCAGCUCAAGAUUUUGAGGUGAAAUAUGUCAUGAUGUUCUUACUAAUGUCAAAAACUGUGUAAAAUUCAUCAUUUAUUUUUGAGUUGUUGAAUUGAUUACUGUUUGGUAUAUAGUUGCUAACUUUUCUGUAGCUCUGUAAUGAUUCUUUUUUUAUAAGAAAGUAUUUAUGCCAGAUAAUGUUAAUCUUUGUUGUGGUAGCUUCCUUGUAUUUUAUGUGUUUGUUGUUUUUUCACUCUUUUCUGCAAGUCUCAAGUGUGUGAAAUGUUGAACAUAUUUUUGUGAACUUCCUUUCAGCAAAGUAAAAGAUGAUGAUAAUUGUGAUUAAUUCACAUAGACUGCAGAUUUGGAAUUUACAUUUUGCUUUAGUUACUGAAGGAAACCAGUGAAAGUGAUAGUCUAUUUAUGUAUAGUUUAUAUGGAAAAUACAACAUAGUUUGCAGAGAGGUUCUUUUAUAAAAACUAGAGAACAGUUAUUUUUCUUCAGUUGUAAAUUGAUAAUUUCAUUUUUACUGUUCAUCAUAUGAGAUGCAUCAUUUGACUUUUUUUUUCAUUUUUCUCUCUUGGUCUUUAAAUGCUGUCUCUGCCUUUUAAAGCUGUUAUUUCUAAACUGUCGCUAUUUUGGAUCUCAAAUAAGUUGUGUAUCAGUGGCCUCUAGUAGUGCUCGAGUAGAUAGUUACUGCCUUCCAUUUCUACCAGGUCAAUAAAUUUACUGUCUGUU
RNAcentral lists this unclassified non-coding RNA (6852 nucleotides) under Penaeus japonicus. Its description in RNAcentral is "lethal(2) giant larvae protein homolog 1-like, transcript variant X2". The record is from RNAcentral. Lineage: Eukaryota; Metazoa; Arthropoda; Malacostraca; Decapoda; Penaeidae.